Molecule: ribosomal RNA, 460 nt
Filed under: uncultured bacterium
Lineage: Bacteria
Description: partial 16S ribosomal RNA
Rfam family: Bacterial small subunit ribosomal RNA
Source: RNAcentral
CCUACGGGCGACAGCAGUGAGGAAUAUUGGUCAAUGGACGAGAGUCUGAACCAGCCAAGUAGCGUGAAGGAUGACUGCCCUCUGGGUUGUAAACUUCUUUUAUAUGGGAAUAAAAUGUUCCACGUGUGGGAUUUUGUAUGUACCAUAUGAAAAAGGAUCGGCUAACCUCGUGCCAGCCGCCGAGGUACUACGGAGGAUCCGAGCGUUAUCCGGAUUUAUUGGGUUUAAAGGGAGCGUAGGUGGAUUGUUAAGUCAGUUGUGAAAGUUUGCGGCUCAACCGUAGAAGUGCAGUUGAAACUGGCAGUCUUGAGUGCAGUAGAGGUGAGCGGAAUUCGUGGUGUAGCGGUGAAAUGCGUAGAUAUCACGAAGAACUCCGAUUGCGAAGGCAGCUCACUGGACUGCAACUGACACUGAGGCUCGAAAGUGUGGGUAUCAAACAGGAUUAGAUACCCGAGUAGUC